CUGGGACAGACACUCAGAGACCAGCAGGACAGAGGACACAGGAGCUGAGAGAAACACACACAGAUGAGUUUAGAUAUUAUAAUAAGAUGCACUUUCAUACACUAUGCUUCCCUCUGUGUAACGUUACAUGGCCUGUAACUUGGUGGCUGAUUUUCCAUAGUAACUAAAAUUUUCCACUUUGCAGUCACUUACAGUACAUCGUGGAAUAUCUAAGAGGGAAGACAUAUCUCAAAAUGACUUGCUGCAAAGGUUGUAUCCAGCUAUUUCUGAGGUGCUGUCCAUCAGCUGGAUGUCCACAGUUCCUCCCAAAGCUCCAUAACACUGAGUUCCAUCCUGUCUGCCAUCACACAUGUCUUUAUCCUGUUUUCCUUCUCUCACCCCAACCGGUCGCAGC
Long non-coding RNA from Oreochromis aureus, 394 nucleotides. RefSeq lists it as uncharacterized. The record is from RefSeq and is a predicted model, not a curated record. NCBI's taxonomy places the organism in Eukaryota, Metazoa, Chordata, Actinopteri, Cichliformes, Cichlidae. The transcript is spliced from 3 exons.